Molecule: ribosomal RNA, 2766 nt
Filed under: Triticum aestivum (bread wheat)
Lineage: Eukaryota; Viridiplantae; Streptophyta; Magnoliopsida; Poales; Poaceae
Description: partial small subunit ribosomal RNA
Source: RNAcentral
AUGGCCGGCGGAAUUGUGACCGUGGCUGGCGGGGUGAUGAACCCCCUCAUCAGCAAGCUCACCACACUCAUGGGCGAUGAGUACAAGAAGUUCAAAGGGGUCAGGAAGCAGGCCUCAUUCCUCCAGAAGGAACUCAGCGCCAUGAACGCUGCCCUUCACAAGCUAGAGCUCAUUGAUGAGAUCAAUCCAACCAUUAAGGACUGGAGAGAUGAUGUCAGGGAGAUGGCAUACGACAUGGAGAAUUGCAUCGAUGACUUCAUCCGCCAAUCUCGAGCUGAUAAUGCCAAGGGAGGCUUUAUCAAGAAGACUGCUCGAUGCGUCAACAAGUUGCGAGAGCGAAUUCGGAUUGCGCACCAGAUGGAAGAACUGAAGACUCUCGCAUUAGAUGCAAAGGAUCGGCACGAGAGGUAUGAAAUUGAUAAUUGGAAGCCUGCCUCUGGCUCUGUGGUUGUAGAUCCUCGGUUGCGGGCAAUCUACGAGGAGGUAGAUACUCUAGUGGGCAUUGAUGUCCCAAGGGAGGAGAUUUCCAUUCGGUUGAUGGAUACUCAGAAGAAACUCAAGGUGGUGGCCAUCGUGGGUUUUGGUGGUCUUGGUAAAACUACAGUUGCCAAGCAGGUUUACGACAAGAUUGCCUCACAAUUCAAUUGCAAGGCAUUCUUUUCAGUUUCACAGAGGCCUCAUAUGGCUGAAUUACUCAACAAUUUCCAACUUAAACUAGGGAUGAACGGUCCCCGUUCAUCUCACACUCGCAAGGUUGAAGACAUGAUUGAAGAGAUACGGGGGCAUCUCAACAAAAAGAGGUACCUUAUUGUUAUUGAUGAUGUGUGGGAUAAAUCCUCAUGGAAUAUUCUUAAGUGUGCUCUCCGCGAAGAUAAUAAUGGAAGUAGAGUAAUAGUUACAACCCGAUUGGUAGGUGUGGCAAGUGCAGCCUGCCAGAAUGAUUGUGAGGGAAUUUACAGACUGAAACCCCUCAAUGAACAAAACUCAAGAAUGUUAUUUUUGAAUAGAAUAUUUGGGUCUGAACAUGGUUGUCUAGUCCAACUUAAAGAAGUCAUGGCUGAUAUUUUGAAGAAGUGCAAUGGAUUGCCACUUGCACUUAUCACAAUAGCUAGCCUAUUAGCUAGUGAAGAAAGAUCAAUAAAGGGUUGGGAGAGUAUAAGGGAUUCUUUGGGUGCUUUGUCUGCCACAAAUCCCACCUUGGAAGAGAUGAAGAGUAUAUUAUACCUUAGCUACAAGCAGCUUCCUGCUCAUCUGCGGGCAUGUUUGUUGUACCUUGGUAUGUAUCCUGAAGACCGUGAGAUUUCAAGGGAUGAUUUGGUUCGACAGUGGAUAGCUGAAGGGUUACUAGUUCAUAAUUUGCAUGUGACAGAUCUAGAGGAUUUGGGGAGGAGUUAUUUCAAUGAGCUCAUCAACAGAAGCAUGAUUGAUCCUUGUAAAACUGAGUAUGGAGAAGUGUUGUCUUUCAGGGUGCAUGAUAUAAUGUUAGAUUUUAUCCUAAGCAAGUGUGAUGAAGAUAACUUUGUAAGUGUAGCAAACAAUUGUGAAGACAUGGCAAGUUUGCAUGGCAGCAAAUACAAGGUCCGUCGAUUAUCUCUGAGAGGAGAAACAUAUGGCCCAACUAUUGAUGUUAGCCUAUCACAAGUUCGAUCAUUUACACAGUUUGGAAAGUUCAUGCCUCCUCCUUUGCUGUUCAAGUAUCUCCGAGUGUUCAGAAUUGAGGGAUACAUGGAAUCACUUGACCUCACUGCUAUUGGUGAAUUAUUUCAACUGAGGUAUUUGCAUGUUUCACGAGUAUAUUCUGUGAAGCUCCCUGCUGAACUUCAAGGACUUGUUUACUUGGAGACACUGGACUUAGAUGAUGCACGAAUCAAGAGCAUGCCAUCAGAUAUAGUCAGUUUGUCGCGUUUAUCCUAUCUUCAUAUUUGGAUGGAAGUAGAGCUGCCUGAAUUUAUUGGCAAUAUAAAAUCACUUCGUAGUCUGAUAAUACAUAGAAACGAGCUGACCAGUGAUCCGUUAUCAAAUUCGAUGAAGGUUAUCAUAGGUCUUGGUGAGCUCAUCAAUCUAAGGGAAUUGGAGAUCCAAGUGGAGUCUUUGGAUAAGGCAGAACAUGAUGCUUUGGCCUGCUCCAUUGGAAAACUCAAUAACCUCAAAAAUCUCAAAUUUUUAGGGCGUCAUAUGGAAGACAAUAAUCAACUGGGAUCAUUAUCCAAACCUUUUCAACAUAUAGAGAAAUUUGACGGUUAUAUAUGGAAAUUUCGUAGAGUUCCAUUAUGGAUGGGUGGUCUCCGUUACCUUCGCAUCCUUGAUCUGCGUGUGGAGGAGACCUCAACGGAGGAGUUUCAUGUUCUUGGUGAGCUUCCCUCCCUCGUUGAACUCAAAUUCAGAUCAUCACAUAUCCCUACAGAAAGGGCUAUAUUGGGUAUGGGACUAUUCCCAGUUCUGGAGUAUUUUGAGUUUUCGUCCAUUGAAGACGUUACGGCAUACCUGGGGUACGAUGUGGGGGCCAUGCCCCAUGUACGAACCCUUGCUCUCCAUAACAAGAAGGAGUGGGAUGGCAGUAUACCUGUCGGCAUGGAGUACCUGUUAUGCCUCGAGAAGAUCAAACUGCAUGGGGCCUACUCGAGUGAUGACGCCAUAGUGUCUGCUUUCAGGGGCGCCCUAUUAGUGCACCCAAACCGCCCUUCCAUUGAACAUUGGCAUGUAACAAAGACCUCCUAUGGAUCAAGCGCUGUUAUGCAGGCAGCAAUUCCACCGCCCUCCUUAUGA